This 253-nucleotide ribosomal RNA is filed under the name uncultured prokaryote. RNAcentral's name for it is "partial 16S ribosomal RNA". It matches the Rfam family "Bacterial small subunit ribosomal RNA", at positions 524 to 776 of the family's 1533-position model. The record is from RNAcentral.
UACAGAGGGUGCGUGCGUUAAUCGGAAUUACUGGGCGUAAAGCGCGCGUAGACGGUUUUGUAAGUCAGAUGUGAAAUCCCCGGGCUCAACCUGGGAACUGCAUUUGAGACUGCAUGGCUAGAGUAUGGAAGAGGGAAGCGGAAUUUCAGGUGUAGCGGUGAAAUGCGUAGAUAUCUGAAGGAACACCAGUGGCGAAAGCGGCUUCCUGGUCCAGUACCGACGUUCAGGCACGAAAGCGUGGGGAGCAAACAGG